Molecule: transfer RNA, 72 nt
Filed under: Sus scrofa (pig)
Lineage: Eukaryota; Metazoa; Chordata; Mammalia; Artiodactyla; Suidae
Rfam family: tRNA
About the family: Transfer RNA (tRNA) molecules are approximately 80 nucleotides in length. Their secondary structure includes four short double-helical elements and three loops (D, anti-codon, and T loops). Further hydrogen bonds mediate the characteristic L-shaped molecular structure. tRNAs have two regions of fundamental functional importance: the anti-codon, which is responsible for specific mRNA codon recognition, and the 3' end, to which the tRNAs corresponding amino acid is attached (by aminoacyl-tRNA synthetases). tRNAs cope with the degeneracy of the genetic code in two manners: having more than one tRNA (with a specific anti-codon) for a particular amino acid; and 'wobble' base-pairing, i.e. permitting non-standard base-pairing at the 3rd anti-codon position.
Source: Rfam by way of RNAcentral
CUCCUGGUGGUCGAGUGGUUAGGAUUCAGCACUUUCACUGCUGCCGCCUGGGUUCAACCCCUGGUCAGGAAC